AGCGAACGUUGGCGGCGCGCUUAACACAUGCAAGUCGAACGCGAAAGAUCUUCGGAUCGAGUAGAGUGGCGCACGGGUGAGUAACACGUGAUUAACCUACCUUUUGGCCCGGGAUAACAUGCCGAAAGGCGUGCUAAUACUGGAUUAGACCACGGUCCCUGCGGGGGACUGCGAGAAAAGCAGGGGAGCGAAAGCGCCUUGCACCAGAAGAUGGGGGUCGCGGCCUAUCAGCUAGUUGGCGGGGGUAACAGCCCACCAAGGCGAUGACGGGUAGCCGGACUGAGAGGUCGAUCGGCCACAAGGGGACUGAGACACGGCCCCUACUCCUACGGGAGGCAG
This 339-nucleotide ribosomal RNA is filed under the name uncultured Pseudomonadota bacterium. Its description in RNAcentral is "bacterial SSU rRNA". It matches the Rfam family "Bacterial small subunit ribosomal RNA", at positions 29 to 351 of the family's 1533-position model. Lineage: Bacteria; Pseudomonadati; Pseudomonadota. The record is from RNAcentral.